RNAcentral lists this ribosomal RNA (343 nucleotides) under cf. Polychaeta sp. DH-2009. Its description in RNAcentral is "partial 16S ribosomal RNA". It matches the Rfam family "Bacterial large subunit ribosomal RNA", at positions 2007 to 2597 of the family's 2925-position model. The record is from RNAcentral. Lineage: Eukaryota; Metazoa; Annelida; Polychaeta.
AGAAUAAAGCUGUCUCACGUGGGCCGCUACAAUCUAAUAUUUAGGUGCAGAAGCCUAAAUCUACAUAAAGGACAAGAAGACCCUAUAGAGCUUUACUGACAAAAGUUAUUACACUUUAGCCUCAGUUUGGUUGGGACAACCAAAAGACACUACUACCUCUUAAUUAACACAACUAAUACCCCCACCCAUUAAUGAAUUAGAAUUAAAGCUACCUUAGGGAUAACAGGCUAAUCCUACUAAAGAGAUCACAUUGACAGUAGGGGUUGGCACCUCGAUGUUGGCUUAGUGUAACCCUCAGGCGCAGCCGCUUGAGAGAGUUGGUUUGUUCAACCAUUAAAUCACU